Molecule: long non-coding RNA, 1383 nt
Organism: Manduca sexta (tobacco hornworm)
Lineage: Eukaryota; Metazoa; Arthropoda; Insecta; Lepidoptera; Sphingidae
Exons: 5
Source: RefSeq, a predicted model, not a curated record
UUUUAUAAAUAGUGUCGGUGUUGUCUUUUUAUUAAAAUUUUGCAAUAAGAACAAGAAGAUACUAUUCGCGAUACAAAAUGAAUAAGCCGCGAAUAAUAAGGUUCGCGAGAGAAAUUAUAUAUAAAACUUUUACCGACCAUGUCUAGCUGAACAAGAAGCAAAAACAAUUCUAUCGGAUCUGGAAGCAUAUGUGAGUGCGUUUCAAGACAUAACCGAAGAUGAUUGGAAAAUCUCAUGUCAACAUGUAAGAAAAAUUUAAAAUGACUAUUACAAGAGAGAACAUACCCUGUAAGAGGACAUUGAAAGAAUUAUAAUAAAUCUUAAAGAUGACAGUAGUAGUUCUUCAGAAUCACAGGAUGACUGUCCAGCCAGCUCCAGUCAUGAAAAUAUGGACAUUGAUUUUACUGAAAUACAAUAUUUGGAAGAAAGUUUUUGGUUUUAUUUGUUGUAACGUAAUUUUUUGAUUACGUUACAUGUUUGGUUUGUCAAGUUUUUUUGUUUAUUUAUUGCGGCUCUGGAGGCUUUGCUUGGUUUGACAGGUGAUUGCCAACAUUGCCACUUAAAAAUUAAAUAAAAUUGAGGAAGUAGGAUUUCCUGCACUGGUCACAUUCGAUAGGGUCAGUGGUCGUUUUGAUGUCUUUUAGUGGAUUGUCUGAGGGACAUCUCUACGUCGAUCUAUGGACUUUCCCAUCCCUACGAUGAUGAUGGACGGCUGUCAUAGACACAGGAAGUCACUUUCUUUGACGGUUCUUGAAGAUAACAUCAUGGAUUAAAUAAUCCAAUUUAAUCUUUCACAAUUAUGGGCAGUAUGCCCUAAUAUUUUGUUAAAAUGUAAAGUAAACAUUCAAAAGUAAUAAUUUAUCUUGAGAUUUUUCUCUUUUAACCUUACGAUGGGCGUCUUAUUGAUGUUCCCUAGUAUUUAUCUAAAUUUGCCUUAAAAACGCUUUCCGCGUUUUUUUUUUAUUUUCCUUUUUUUGGAAGUUUUUUACAAUGGAUUAAUUUUUUACAUGGAGCGAUUUCAUAUUGUAUCCAGUUUAACCUACAUUUGUUGCAAUUUUCUGCACCGGGACCUCUCCGCGAGGAUCUGCUUUAUGGGACCAGCAGUGAAGAGUGUUCUGUGGUCUUCAUUAAUUAUAUUUGACUAACUUUAGUUAUUUCAUUACUCUGGUAUGUAUUUCUAACUUGAUUCCAGUGAUGAUGCAAUAAUGACCAAAGGUAUUUUUAUGUUCUAAAAUAAUUAUUUCCAAAUUUGAGAACUCCUCGGAAAAUAUAAAGAACAACUUUGGCUUACUGGCUCUGAGACUUUCAUUUAGACCGCCCCUGAAGAUUAAAAAGUUCCAGAAUCUUCCUAGCUUAUCCAGUUUCCAAAUACAUGCGGUGGCC